This is a long non-coding RNA of Mus musculus (house mouse), 1252 nucleotides long. RefSeq annotates it as predicted gene 11608. The transcript is spliced from 5 exons. Lineage: Eukaryota; Metazoa; Chordata; Mammalia; Rodentia; Muridae. The record is from RefSeq and is a predicted model, not a curated record.
GCCCGGCGCCGCCCCCGGCCCCCGCGCCAGCCCCCGCCGCUGCGAGCCCCUUCCUCCCGCUCUUAAAGCGCACACUUCCUGCAGGCGCCGCCCCACGCGCCCCCCGCCCGAAUCAGAGCUUGGGGUUUGGGGCUUGGGACCGGGACCCAGAGCCAAGCUUCAGCUUUUGGAGAAGUUAAGUCCCAAGUGACCAGAUGAAAAAUGGCUCGCGAAGCAACAUGUGAAUUCGGGCAAGGAGAAUGGCGUUCAAGGGGUUAAUGAAGAGCUUGGUUGCCCAGAGUCUGCAGUGAGAAACACUGAAGAGAGACAAGAUGGCUUGGAGAUCACCUGAAGUCACUGACUCCUACUUAGAUCAAGAAGGUCCCAGGGUUUGAACUCGGGUUGUCAGGUUUACAUGGCAAGCUGAGUCAUCUUGCCUAUCACCAGCAUUUUCAUGUCACAGAAGAUGAACUGCACGGAAAAAAAUCACAGCAAUCAACAGCUGACUCAAAACAUGAGUCACAAAAAUUAAGAGAGAGCACCAUCUGAAUGGAGAGAGCACCAUCUGAAUGGAGAGAGCACCAUCUGAAUGGAGAGAGCACCAUCUGAAUGGAGAGAGCAAGCAAGGAGCGCUGUAUUUACAGAAAGGGUAAGCACAAGUGGCCCGGGCACCCGAGGAUCACGAUGGCUCUUCAGUUAGCUGUCAGCGCGCAAUAUAAAUCCUUGCUAUGUGAGCAAGUUGGAUCCAAUUCUUCAUCAAAGGUACUGUGCUCAUGGAGGCUGUCAGAUGCUCCCCGUCAAAUGAAUCCGCAUCCGCAGUCCAAAGGCCAGAGGAAAGGGGAUCGGCAGGGACAGAAGACAAACCUUCAGAAAUGCUGUGCAGAAAAGGCCGCCUUUCUGCCUAACAGGUCUCUCUCUUGCUGAAAGCAGCAGUAUGCAUUAUGUUUUUGAAAAUGAACUCCUGGGCCGCGAGACGGGGAGAAUCAAGUGCUGUGAAUGCGCAACAAUCUGAGUUUGAUCCUCAGAACCACAACAGAAGUAGAGGGCACACAACAAUAAAUUAAAUAAAUUAAUAAAUUAAUUUAUUGAUAAAUUAAUAAAAUGGAACUGUAAGAAAGAGGCUGGGGGUAAUAUUUUCUGGCCUACUUGAACAAUUCUAAAAUCAAUGUGAUCUUUUUUCUUCGAGAGGUUCUCAGCUUCUUUCCUCCUCUCUGAGUUCCGCUCCCUUUCCGGUGGAGCACGUCUCAUCGGAAGCACCGUGCCUCUGGCCAGG